Oncorhynchus mykiss (rainbow trout) is the source of this 3248-nucleotide non-coding RNA. NCBI's taxonomy places the organism in Eukaryota, Metazoa, Chordata, Actinopteri, Salmoniformes, Salmonidae. The record is from RefSeq and is a predicted model, not a curated record.
CAGUACAGAAAACGACGCGCGACGAGGACGCCAAGGUUGCGUAGGAUCUGCGCAUUCAACACGCUGGAAAUAAUUUGCGGUGACGUAGCGUCCCCAUGAGUGACAGAAAACUGAGCCAAUCAUGGCACAACUAGAGAACUUUACCAACCCCUACGCGCUGUAUUUUCCGCUGGCUGCCCCACUACCACAGAAAACACUGAGCUAGGCUCAAACACCUGCAUUUUGGAGCUGCCUCAUUGAAGAAAGCAAAAAAGAGACCAUGUUGGUGGAGCUCAAAAUAGGUGGGGCUCUGUCCCACCUGCCCUGAAUGACGGGGCGCCACUGGCCAAUAUACAGGAGAGCAGGGUUAUCUUCAAUAUUCCAAUAUGGCACACAGUAGGAAAACAUUUAGCAACAGACAAUGAAAAUAUGUGUUCAGGUAAUACCUCCCCGUUUUAGAACGUUCAUCUAUAUUGAACACAACCCUGGGCAUUGAGUAUUGGAGUGUCUGACUGACGACUGGACCAGAGGGGUGACGACCACAGCACUUCCUAGGGCUAAAUGAUUCCUUUAGUCCAGAACAGUCAUCCCACGCUAGUGAAUAUUAUCAUCAGGCCCCUGUCUCUGGGAAGUAACGCCUAAUGAGUCCAUUUUAAUAUGGAAUCUGACCAUGGCAAUGAUCUCAUUAAACUCCCACAGUGUGACUGGCUGAUUGGCUGCCUGCCUCCUCCACAAGCCAUUUCCUCUGGUUAGAAAUGGAAAAGCAGCAUGGCAGCUGAUUAACCACAUGGUGUACUAGGCCUAAGUCCCAUUUGCCUUGUGUGAUAAAAGAAAAUAACAGGGUUUCAUCCCUUUCUCAAUCCUGCCUGAUCUGUGAGGCUGGAGACUGGGAAGUGCAGGUAACAACAUAGGGGGUGGGAAAAGAGAGUAAUAUCUUCGGGUCAGGCUGGGUUGUAAUAAAGGUAGGGGUCAGACCUAGUGGAGGCUCUUUAAUGCUGGUGUGGAUUACCUUGACAUGCUCAGAGCAUACCACUGACCAGGCUGAUAGAGUGAGUAUGUGUGUGAGGGGGGAAGGGUAGUGAGGACUGUGUGUUCUUGCUCUCUCUCACUGUCUUUCUCUCUCUCUUUCAAUCUUUCUCUCACUUUCUAAUCUACAGCUAUCUCCCUAGGGUCCCAAGUCAGGAGGACAGCCACAUGUAUCCACACAUGUUAUCUCAUCAACAUCAGAACAACCAAAACCCAGCUAAUAGUCAUGGCAGUGUGUGCGUGUGUGUGAAGGGUGUGUGUGUGGGUGUUUGGGGCUGUUCUCCUCCACCCACUGUGACUUUUAUCUCAUUUGAUUAUUCUGAGAGGAUGACAUUCGACCAGGGGGUUUAUACAUGGUGCAGUGUGUUUAUACAGUGUGUGACACUCAUGUUGGAGUGUCACACACACACACACACACACACACACACACACACAGCCAAACCCAGGCCCCGUCUCCCACUCUCCCAUCCAUUGGCUAAUUACAUUUAGCCUUCUGCUCCACGGUGACUGUUGGAACAGCUGGGCUUGGUGGUUCCUGGAGAACAGAUAACACAAAUCAUGAAUCAAACUACUGUUGCUGCCAUGGAGAGAGAAGCAGCGAGGGUGGGGAGCGAUGAGAGGGAGAGGAGUGGGGAGAGAGAGAGAGGACAAGGACACAGUGAUAAUAUUUAAAGCCUCAUCCCCCACACAUCUCAUUCAUAUCUAUAUCACAGGCUGAAAAGAGGGGGAUGGAAAGGCCAGCAUAUGACUGUUUCAUUUCCCUGGCCCAACAGAACAACGUGAUGCAGCUGGUUGGGUGUCUUCCUGGCCCAACAGAACAACGUGAUGCAGCUGGUUGGGUGUCUUCCUGGCCCAACAGAACAACGUGAUGCAGCUGGUUGGGUGUCUUCCUGGCCCAACAGAACAACGUGAUGCAGCUGGUUGGGUGUCUUCCUGGCCCAACAGAACAACGAGAUGCAACUGGUUGGGUGUCUUCAUGGCCCAACAGAACAACGUGAUGCAGCUGGUUGGGUGUCUUCCUGGCCCAACAGAACAACGUGAUGCAGCUGGUUGGGUGUCUUCCUGGCCCAACAGAACAACGUGAUGCAGCUGGUUGGGUGUCUUCCUGGCCCAACAGAACAACGUGAUGCAGCUGGUUGGGUGUCUUCCUGGCCCAAUAGAACAAAAUGAUGCAGCUGGUUGGGUGUCUUCCUGGCCCAACAUAACAACGUGAUGCAGCUGGUUGGGUGUCUUCCUGGCCCAACAGAACAAUGUGAUGCAGCUGGUUGGGUGUCUUCAUGGCCCAACAGAACAACGUGAUGCAGCUGGUUGGGUGUCUUCCUGGCCCAACAGAACAACGAGAUGCAGCUGGUUGGGUGUCUUCCUGGCCCAACAGAACAACGUGAUGCAGCUGGUUGGGUGUCUUCCUGGCCCAACAGAACAACGUGAUGCAGCUGGUUGGGUGUCUUCCUGGCCCAACAGAACAACGUGAUGCAGCUGGUUGGGUGUCUUCCUGGCCCAACAGAACAACGUGAUGCAGCUGGUUGGGUGUCUUCCUGGCCCAACAGAACAACGUGAUGCAGCUGGUUGGGUGUCUUCCUGGCCCAACAGAACAACGUGAUGCAGCUGGUUGGGUGUCUUCCUGGCCCAACAGAACAACGUGAUGCAGCUGGUUGGGUGUCUUCCUGGCCCAACAGAACAACAUGAUACAGCUGGUGAGGGGAAAGGAAAAGAGAGGGACAAAAACAUAUUCAUGCUGAAAAACAAAUCCCAUAAAAUCUUCUAGGAUGUUACUUUGUGUGAGGUCUUCCUAACCUAUAUAUUCCUCUAUGACCUUGGCAGUACAGUAUAAUGGUGCAUACACAAGCUGCAGGUUUCACAUAUUGUAUUAUACUAUCCCAAUGUAUCCUUUAUGUCAUUCCCUGUUGAACUUACAUAGUGUAAAUCCAGUUGGUUCUACUCUAUAUCUACUGGUCGGUUGAUGUAUCUUCCUGAUAUAUGCCAUUUAACAGAGACAUUUAUACAAAGCAACGUACAAAUCAAAUUGUACUUGUACGAGCCCCUAACCAACAAUGCAGAGUUUUAAAAAAGUAAGAAAAUGUUGCUAAACUAAAGGAAAAAUAGUAACACAUUAAAGAACAAUAACGAGGCGAUAUACAAGGGCUACCGGUACUGAGUCAGUGUGCAGGGUAUGGGUUAGUCCAGGUAAUUGAGGUAAUAUGUACAUGUAGGUAGGGGUAGUGACUAUGCAUAGAUAAUAAACA